UACGAAGGCAGCAGUGGGGAAUAUUGCACAAUGGGCGCAAGCCUGAUGCAGCCAUGCCGCGUGUAUGAAGAAGGCCUUCGGGUUGUAAAGUACUUUCAGCGGGGAGGAAGGCGAUGUGGUUAAUAACCGCAUCGAUUGACGUUACCCGCAGAAGAAGCACCGGCUAACUCCGUGCCAGCAGCCGCGGUAAUACGGAGGGUGCAAGCGUUAAUCGGAAUUACUGGGCGUAAAGCGCACGCAGGCGGUCUGUCAAGUCGGAUGUGAAAUCCCCGGGCUUAACCUGGGAACUGCAUUCGAAACUGGCAGGCUAGAGUCUUGUAGAGGGGGUAGAAUUCCAGGUGUAGCGGUGAAAUGCGUAGAGAUCUGGGAGGAAUACCGGGUGGCGAAGGCGGGCCCCUGGGACAAAGACUGACGCUCAGGUGCGAAAGCGUGGGGAGCAAACGAGGAUUAGGAU
This 454-nucleotide ribosomal RNA is filed under the name uncultured bacterium. RNAcentral describes it as "bacterial SSU rRNA". It matches the Rfam family "Bacterial small subunit ribosomal RNA", at positions 340 to 784 of the family's 1533-position model. The record is from RNAcentral.